GUGGAGAGUAACUUUGGCCUCAGUUUCCUCGGGAUUUAAGACACGGCGACAAAAUCUCUGCAUUCAGCUCCUCCCUGACCCUGAGGGUUGUCAGAUUGAUGGAGGAGAUACCAUCCUGGGAGGAAAGAAGCAGGAGCCGCCAGAGCUCUGGCAGCUCCACAGGCAUGUGCCCUGGGAACACACUCACAUACUCUGAUAGGAUUCCACCUGCCUGGACAGGACUGGCUCAGGGACCAGAUUUCCUCAGACAGCAGUGGGAAGGGAUUCCCCCAGAGUCCCAGAGCCCGGACCCACAGCCAGGUUGGGGUCCCCUGGUCCUGGGCCAGGUCGAACUCUGAGAGAAAGAUCCUGGACCAAAACUGUGGCAUGGAACAAAUUGGUUUCUCAGUGAACAUCUUUCCUUCUGUAGACAGAACAAAACCUCAAUAAAUACG
Molecule: long non-coding RNA, 434 nt
Organism: Phyllostomus hastatus (greater spear-nosed bat)
Lineage: Eukaryota; Metazoa; Chordata; Mammalia; Chiroptera; Phyllostomidae
Exons: 3
Source: RefSeq, a predicted model, not a curated record